CGCAUGCGUGCGAGAGAGCCGUCUACGGCCGCUUUCUUGGCCUGAGGAGACCGCGGAUCUGUCACCUGUCGCGGUUUGGUGACGCGACCGACCUCGGUGGGGAUGGCUCUGCACCUGGGUGGCCGAAAACUCACUCCUUAAAGGAGUUAAAUAACUCGCCCAAAGCACCCACAUACUAAGUGGUGAGGCCUGAGAUUGGAGCGGGAUGCCGGGACCUGACUGUGCGGUUCCCCGCGUGCUGGCUGCUGCGUUUGUCACUGUCGUUGUCGCCAUUCCUUCGUCCGCUCGCAAGCUUCCAGCGCCAGGUGUGGGGCAGAGUUGCAAAUGCGGGAAGCGACGUUUGCUCAUCCUGCACGACGGCCGGAAUUGCACAGAGGCCCUGCCUCUGAAGAACGCCCUGAAGACGACAAGUGAGCGAGCACAGCUUCCCGCGCUCCGGCCUGAAGCACUCCAUGGAAGAGGAACUGAGGCAGAGAGUUCGCACCCCUGACUGCUUAGUGCUCUUCAAGGCUGUGAAACAAACUCUUCGAGACAAGUUAGACUUGAAGACAAGUUGAGGCCCAGCUGUGUAAUCAAACAAGACAAGGAGCAGUUGUGCUGAAACUGUCAACCUGUCUCCCAAAGUGGCUUGUAUCAUUCUGCAUCCCCACCAUCAAUAGACAAGCAUUCCUGCUGCCAGCAUUCAGUGUUGUCAGUGGUCUGGAUUUUGGCCAUUCUGAUAGCUGAUGAUAUACCAUGAGCCUUCAGAUCUAACAAAUGUGCUUUGAUUAUGUGGCUCACCAGCAGCUCCUUUCAUCCUGGGAACAUUUUGCAAGCCAAAUCUAAUCAGUGCAGGGCAGCCAAGGGCUCUCAGAGGGUCCACAUCCUCCAGAGUUGUUUUCCAGAGCACUGCCCGAGGGUGAGAUUGAGUCACUUGAGUGCUCACACCCAGCUCAGACUCACUGAUUUCAGCAAUGGGAGGAGAGGCAAGAUGGUGGACAUGAAACACCUCCAGCCAGAGAGUCUCUGCAAGAAGGAAAGAUUUUAAAGGAAAGUGAAAGAAAUAAACAGACAGACGAACAUAGAUUGGAUUAGCGUCAGAAGGAAGGGCGCCUGAACCUCCACAGAAGACUCCACAGGAAGCGGUUGUGGAGCAGAACUAGAAGGAGGAAGGCGUCAGCAGGGUCUAAACCCGAGAGGCUUGGAGACCAACGACAAAGGGCAGCCCCAUCUGUUGAUGAAUUCAUCACUAGAGUGACAGCGUUCCGAUGAUGUACUCACAUAAUACAUUACCAAAGUGCCAGUCCUGAUGGCCCUGUGAUGUAUGACGCUAGCAUUUGUCAAUGCCCUGCAGUUCCAACUGAACCAUUCAUCACAGUAGCGUCUUCUUCAUGGGGACACUGCACGGCGACUCCUUCCUAGGGAAAUGAGGAACUGCGGAGGACGGAGCAGCCAGGUAACUGGAACACGGUCUACUUCAUUGCUGUAAAUAGGAGCCCAGGAGAUUCCUGUGUAAGUGCUUGUUUACCUAAAGGCUUGAGUUGCUUUCUGUUUGUUUGUUUUUUUUUUUUACCUUCCUGAUUUUAGUUUCUCUGGUUUCCCCAAGAUAGGGCCCGAGCUUGCAGGUGACAACCUGCAUCACAGGUAUAGCGAUUUUCUGAUGACGCAGUGGUAGUAGCAAGUUCUACGUCCCCUUUGCUGGUUUGACCACACCAAACUUCUGGAAAGAACCUCAUCAGUAGGAGGAUCUCCUACCAAAGAGAAAAAUCUCGAGUCUUAUGAAGAAGAAAUAUCAAAGAGGGUUGCAGGAAAUUCUUAAACGAAUCCACAUUUUCCAGGCUUUAUUAUUUUAUUUAUUUCUUUAUUUCGUUUAUUUAUUUGUUCCAGCUCACGGCUCUUCAGCAAAGAUUCCGUGGAUAUCUGCUGUCUCGGAAAGAGCCAUUCCCAGGGCUGGGCCUCGGGAAUAAACGUCAGCAUGAUGAGUGUGACAGGAUAGGGCCGCGGAAGUUUCCGUAGACAGAACAGGGACACCUGCGCAAGCCAAGGUGUUAGGAAAACUACUGGAGGGGCCGGUGACGCUGAGCCAAGUCUGGAAGAGCCGAGGCGUGUCAUUUCCUAGAGAGCAGGAAGGGUGUUGGAGGGAGGUGGGGCAGUGUAAACAGAGGCUCAGGGGGGACAACGGGAAGCCGUUCGAUGGUGUGAAGCAGUGGCCUUCCUUGAUCGGGUCUCAUGUGGCAGGAAAAUCAUUGUGUUGGUUAUUCGGGAACUGGCUUGGGGGAAGGUUGGAGAGGGGGGAGAGGCGUCCAGAGAGUUACCUAUGACAGGUGUCUGUAACCAGUGACUUCAGCAAGCAUAAAGACAGUGGGGGUGGGGGAGACGGGGAGGUUGGAGACAGAUUUUCUGGUAAAAUCAACAAAACUUGAUUGACAUAAUGAGGGCCAAGGCCGUGGCUGUCUUGUUGAUUACUGUGUUCCUUUUCUGCAUCCGAGAAAAGUUCGACACAUGUGCAGCAAAUCAAUGAAGGCAUACAUGUUGAGGCCACGAACAGGUAGAUCUUUAGACAGUAGAUGGAGAUGUCAAGCUGUCAUGGUUCAGAAACACAAGGCAUUAUUAAUGAGAUGACUUUUACAAAAUCUUCCCCCCUUACGUUUCAUAUUUAUUAAAUAAAUUUCUGAUUUGUGAUGUUACUUACUCAUUAGCAUUCAGCACUGGGGUGCAAAAAGUUUCAUUUAUCCUUACACAAGAAUAUAUUGACAUGUGUUUUCUACAUUGAACCCUGAAGAGACUGGGCUUUGGGAGACCGGGCGUCUUUGGGUCUCACAGGUGAGGGUUUUGAGCUACCACUACAAGGUUCCGUCUAACUGACUCACUAGGCUGUGUCUCCAUUGUGACCGAUCUCUGUUAUUUCUGUGAUAGUCAAAUGGGACCAAUAAUAGAUACGCUUUGCAACUCUCCAGCAAAGAUCACAUCAACUCAAGGAAGAACCACUGUUGGGGACCUAUGAAAGAUGGAGUUUAGAAAUGGUAGUGGCCAAACCCAUGGGACAUUCCCUAGGGAAUGCUCUGACUUAUCCCAAAGGUUUUCAACUGGGGGCUAUUUUGCCUUCCCCUGAAGGGACAUUUGGCAAUGUCAAGAGGCAUUUUUGCUUAUCCCAACUGGGGAGGCGGUACUUCUGGUAUUUAGUGGGGAGAGACCGAGAAUGCUAAUAAACAUCCUACAAUGCUCAGGGUAGCGCCGUCCCCCCCCCCCAACACUGAAUUUCUGUCCCCAAGUGUCAGCGGCACCCAGGUUGAGAAACCCUAAUCUAGACAUACACCUGGGAAAGAGGGGAUGGUAUCUUAGAGAAAGUAUGUCCUGCGAGUGGAUUCUCGCCCAGCUCUGACAUUUACUCGCUGUAUGACUUCAGCUAAGUCUCUCAACUUUGGUAGACCUUGGGGUUCUCACCUAUCACCUGAGAAGAUGGAAGCUAGAGUAUUUCCAAUUCUCUCCCUGUCCUAAAAUGUUAUGAAUUUGUGACUGCCCCGAAGGUCUUCUCAUCAUCUCCAGGAAAUCUGUUUUCAGUCUUGCUUAUAGAUUGUUUUGGGGAAAGAUCAUGCCAGGCAGCUCCCUUACAGAUGGCUUGACCUUCAAAAUUAUUGUGAGAAGUUUUCCAUCCCACGGAAGAACAUUGAGUGCAGGGGUUGUAAGUCUUUUCUUUGGAGAAAGCAUUGUUUCACAUUUUUUUUUUGUUGUUCCCUUCUAAAAUUCAAUAGCCUGAACUCAACCUCACUACCCAGAAGAAAACAAGAGAAAGAGACUAAAAGCCAGAAUUAAAAUAUGAGAAUCAAGGUUCAAGAACCCAAGGACUCUUCAAUCUCCGUUUUUAUGUAAAAUGGGGAAUUUAACAUUUAUUCUAUCUACCACCCCCACUCGAAGUUGCUGUUAAGAUAAUGAGUGCUAUGUCGUAGGCAUGGGCUAUAUAUCAAAAAGCAUUUUGUAUAGUGCAAACUAUUGUAUAAAUAUAGGAAUCGUUGUUAACAGUUCUUAAAAAAUGUGCAAGGUGGAUGAGGAAAUGCCAGCUGAUGAGCAAAUUAGUUAAAGUGCAAUUUACAAAGUCUUCUCUUGUUCUCCCGGGGUCACUUCACACUGGGAUGUAUGAUCAUUAAAUAUGACCCUCAGAGGCACUGUGUCUAAUGUAGGGUAAAUUACUCAAUUUUAAGACAAGAUUUUAAACAAGGGCCAAACUGUUUUAUCUACUUGAAUUUGGGUCACUAAUUACACCCAUUGAUCUUCAAGUAAUGAAUCUAACAACGACCUCAUAAAUUGUGCAAUGACAACGAGUCUCCUUUCUGUCCUUUUUCAUCAUAAAAUGAGACUGAUGCCUCUUUCAGUUAGUGGUGGCAAUUAUGUGUCCAUCAAAGAGAUGAGGCAAAGAGACGGGAAGCAGUGGUGUGCUAUUAGGGAGACUCGAAUGAGAGUCUCUGUUGUGUUGGUGCUGUGUGUCCCUAACCCUGCCCUUCUCCCUCUCUGAUCCUGUUUCCUGACAUGAAAAAAGUAUGAUGUUGUAUCAGAUGAUUUUUUCAUAGUCUUUUUCAACUUCCAAAUUUCAGGAGUCUAAGUAAAAUUCAUUUGUGACAUUGAAGAAAAGACACUAUUUAAAUGGUCAAAUCGUGCAUUUCUCCCAAAGCAGAUUAU
Microcebus murinus (gray mouse lemur) is the source of this 4653-nucleotide non-coding RNA. The record is from RefSeq and is a predicted model, not a curated record. NCBI's taxonomy places the organism in Eukaryota, Metazoa, Chordata, Mammalia, Primates, Cheirogaleidae.